GAUGAACGCUGGCGGCGUGCCUAAUACAUGCAAGUCGAGCGAAUGGAUUAAGAGCUUGCUCUUAUGAAGUUAGCGGCGGACGGGUGAGUAACACGUGGGUAACCUGCCCAUAAGACUGGGAUAACUCCGGGAAACCGGGGCUAAUACCGGAUAACAUUUUGAACCGCAUGGUUCGAAAGUGAAAGGCGGCUUAGGCUGUCACUUAUGGAUGGACCCGCGUCGCAUUAGCUAGUUGGUGAGGUAACGGCUCACCAAGGCAACGAUGCGUAGCCGACCUGAGAGGGUGAUCGGCCACACUGGGACUGAGACACGGCCCAGACUCCUACGGGAGGCAGCAGUAGGGAAUCUUCCGCAAUGGACGAAAGUCUGACGGAGCAACGCCGCGUGAGUGAUGAAGGCUUUCGGGUCGUAAAACUCUGUUGUUAGGGAGGAACAAGUGCUAGUUGAAUAAGCUGGCACCUUGACGGUACCUAACCAGAAAGCCACGGCUAACUACGUGCCAGCCGCCGCAGUAA
RNAcentral lists this ribosomal RNA (515 nucleotides) under uncultured bacterium. RNAcentral describes it as "partial 16S ribosomal RNA". It matches the Rfam family "Bacterial small subunit ribosomal RNA", at positions 28 to 523 of the family's 1533-position model. The record is from RNAcentral.